UACGGAGGGCGCGAGCGUUAGUCGGAAUUACUGGGCGUAAAGCGCGCGUAGGCUGUUGUGUAAGUUGGGGGUGAGAUCCCACGGCUCAACCGUGGAACAGCCCUUGAUACUGCGCGACUUGAAUCCGGGAGAGGGUGGCGGAAUUCCAGGUGUAGGAGUGAAAUCCGUAGAUAUCUGGAGGAACAUCAGUGGCGAAGGCGGCCACCUGGACCGGUAUUGACGCUGAGGCGCGAAAGCGUGGGGAGCAAACAGG
This 253-nucleotide ribosomal RNA is filed under the name uncultured bacterium. RNAcentral describes it as "partial 16S ribosomal RNA". It matches the Rfam family "Bacterial small subunit ribosomal RNA", at positions 524 to 776 of the family's 1533-position model. The record is from RNAcentral.